Molecule: ribosomal RNA, 505 nt
Filed under: uncultured bacterium
Lineage: Bacteria
Description: partial 16S ribosomal RNA
Rfam family: Bacterial small subunit ribosomal RNA
Source: RNAcentral
GACGAACGCUGGCGGCGUGCCCAAUACAUGCAAGUAGAACGCACAGUUUAUACCGUAGCUUGCUACACCAUAGACUGUGAGUUGCGAACGGGUGAGUAACGCGUAGGUAACCUGCCUGGUAGCGGGGGAUAACUAUUGGAAACGAUAGCUAAUACCGCAUCAUAUUGAUUAUUGCAUGAUAAUUGAUUGAAAGAUGCUAUUUCAUCACUACCAGAUGGACCUGCGUUGUAUUAGCUAGUAGGUGAGGUAACGGCUCACCUAGGCGACGAUACAUAGCCGACCUGAGAGGGUGAUCGGCCACACUGGGACUGAGACACGGCCCAGAAUCCUACGGGAGGCAGCAGUAGGGAAGCUUCGGCAAUGGACGAAAGUCUGACCGAGCAACGCCGCGUGAGUGAAGAAGGUUGUCGGAUCGUAAAGCUCUGUUGUAAGAGAAGAACGGGUGUGAGAGUGGAAAGUUCACACUGUGACGGUAGCUGACCAGAAAGGGACGGCUAACUACGUG